Portunus trituberculatus (swimming crab) is the source of this 760-nucleotide long non-coding RNA. RefSeq lists it as uncharacterized. The record is from RefSeq and is a predicted model, not a curated record. The transcript is spliced from 2 exons. Lineage: Eukaryota; Metazoa; Arthropoda; Malacostraca; Decapoda; Portunidae.
AGAAGAAAAGGGAAAGAUUGCAUUAUUCGAAGGAAGUACAGGAAAUAGGAGGGAUGAAGCCGAAGCACAAGCAGCAGAUUCAGGCGAGAACAUCAAACUGCUGCGUGACGCUCCCCAGACGCCGUCCUUUGAAGUCAUAACACACGACUCAUCUAAAUACAGGGAAUUCAUUUUGUCACCUAGCAAUAUUUGUCUCUGUGUAAAGAAUCACGAAAUUAUUUCCGUCCUGAUGGAAGAGAGGGAAAAUUCAUCCAAUCUCGUGGUUCCGAUGGUUUACUUUUUAUAUAAUUUUCUCUGGUUAUUUAUAACAGAAUAUUAAUUUUGAAAUAUUAUUAGCACAUCAAAGACCUGCAUUUUAUUUAUAUCAUCAUCAUCCUUUACCACAUUGUCAUGACGAUUACGGUGACUGCGAGGAACAUGCAUUUAAAAAAGAUUUCGACAACACCUAUUGCUUAAGCUAAAAAGAAAGAAAUAGAUCAACAAAUAUUAAUAAAUCAAUAAAUCAAUAAAUAAAAGUCUAUGACAGUAUCUGAUCAUCCUGAUAUUUAUGAAUAAUUUUCGUACGGGAUUAUUUUCUUUAUCACGAGUUCAACGUGUUAUUUGUGUAAUCCACAAAUCCCCACGUAAAUUCUCUCUUAAUCAUUUGCAUCCUACCUGAGUUUAUAAAAGGACAAUAGACUCACAGCUUUGUCCAGGUAUCUGUCUGCGUUCUGUCUUUUUCCACGUAACUCCAAUAAAUCCUGAUGUCAUGGAUGCAUCC